This 425-nucleotide ribosomal RNA is filed under the name uncultured bacterium. Its description in RNAcentral is "partial 16S ribosomal RNA". It matches the Rfam family "Bacterial small subunit ribosomal RNA", at positions 354 to 796 of the family's 1533-position model. The record is from RNAcentral.
GUGGGGAAUCUUGCGCAAUGGGCGAAAGCCUGACGCAGCCAUGCCGCGUGAAUGAUGAAGGUCUUAGGAUUGUAAAAUUCUUUCACCGGGGACGAUAAUGACGGUACCCGGAGAAGAAGCCCCGGCUAACUUCGUGCCAGCAGCCGCGGUAAUACGAAGGGGGCUAGCGUUGCUCGGAAUUACUGGGCGUAAAGGGCGCGUAGGCGGACAGUUUAGUCAGAGGUGAAAGCCCAGGGCUCAACCUUGGAAUUGCCUUUGAUACUGGCUGUCUUGAGUACGGGAGAGGUGAGUGGAACUCCGAGUGUAGAGGUGAAAUUCGUAGAUAUUCGGAAGAACACCAGUGGCGAAGGCGACACACUGGCUCAUUACUGACGCUGAGGCGCGAAAGCGUGGGGAGCAAACAGGAUUAGAUACCCCAGUAGUCC